GUAUGCCCGUUCGGGCACCCGGACCCGAUGCCGAACUCAGAAGUGAAACGCCGUAGCGCCGAUGGUAGUGUGGGGUCUCCCCAUGCGAGAGUAGGGAACU
RNAcentral lists this ribosomal RNA (100 nucleotides) under Escherichia coli. The record is from RNAcentral. Lineage: Bacteria; Pseudomonadati; Pseudomonadota; Gammaproteobacteria; Enterobacterales; Enterobacteriaceae.